Molecule: ribosomal RNA, 1245 nt
Filed under: Bacillus pumilus
Lineage: Bacteria; Bacillati; Bacillota; Bacilli; Caryophanales; Bacillaceae
Description: bacterial SSU rRNA
Rfam family: Bacterial small subunit ribosomal RNA
Source: RNAcentral
CUUGCUCCCGGAUGUUAGCGGCGGACGGGUGAGUAACACGUGGGUAACCUGCCUGUAAGACUGGGAUAACUCCGGGAAACCGGAGCUAAUACCGGAUAGUUCCUUGAACCGCAUGGUUCAAGGAUGAAAGACGGUUUCGGCUGUCACUUACAGAUGGACCCGCGGCGCAUUAGCUAGUUGGUGGGGUAAUGGCUCACCAAGGCGACGAUGCGUAGCCGACCUGAGAGGGUGAUCGGCCACACUGGGACUGAGACACGGCCCAGACUCCUACGGGAGGCAGCAGUAGGGAAUCUUCCGCAAUGGACGAAAGUCUGACGGAGCAACGCCGCGUGAGUGAUGAAGGUUUUCGGAUCGUAAAGCUCUGUUGUUAGGGAAGAACAAGUGCGAGAGUAACUGCUCGCACCUUGACGGUACCUAACCAGAAAGCCACGGCUAACUACGUGCCAGCAGCCGCGGUAAUACGUAGGUGGCAAGCGUUGUCCGGAAUUAUUGGGCGUAAAGGGCUCGCAGGCGGUUUCUUAAGUCUGAUGUGAAAGCCCCCGGCUCAACCGGGGAGGGUCAUUGGAAACUGGGAAACUUGAGUGCAGAAGAGGAGAGUGGAAUUCCACGUGUAGCGGUGAAAUGCGUAGAGAUGUGGAGGAACACCAGUGGCGAAGGCGACUCUCUGGUCUGUAACUGACGCUGAGGAGCGAAAGCGUGGGGAGCGAACAGGAUUAGAUACCCUGGUAGUCCACGCCGUAAACGAUGAGUGCUAAGUGUUAAGGGGGUUUCCGCCCCUUAGUGCUGCAGCUAACGCAUUAAGCACUCCGCCUGGGGAGUACGGUCGCAAGACUGAAACUCAAAGGAAUUGACGGGGGCCCGCACAAGCGGUGGAGCAUGUGGUUUAAUUCGAAGCAACGCGAAGAACCUUACCAGGUCUUGACAUCCUCUGACAACCCUAGAGAUAGGGCUUUCCCUUCGGGGACAGAGUGACAGGUGGGUGCAUGGUUGUCGUCAGCUCGUGUCGUGAGAUGUUGGGGUUAAGUCCCGCAACGAGCGCAACCCUUGAUCUUAGUUGCCAGCAUUUAGUUGGGCACUCUAAGGUGACUGCCGGUGACAAACCGGAGGAAGGUGGGGAUGACGUCAAAUCAUCAUGCCCCUUAUGACCUGGGCUACACACGUGCUACAAUGGACAGAACAAAGGGCUGCGAGACCGCAAGGUUUAGCCAAUCCCAUAAAUCUGUUCUCAGUUCGGAUCGCAGUCUG